RNAcentral lists this non-coding RNA (148 nucleotides) under Nomascus leucogenys (northern white-cheeked gibbon). The record is from Rfam by way of RNAcentral. Lineage: Eukaryota; Metazoa; Chordata; Mammalia; Primates; Hylobatidae.
GCCAGGUGUGGUGGUGCACACCUGUAAUCCCAGUUACUUGGGAGGCUGAGGCAGGAGAAUUGCUUGAACCUGGGAGGCAGAGGUUGCAGUGAGCCAAGAUUGCACCACUGCACUCCAGCCUGGGCAACAGAGCAAGACUCUGUCUCAG